GACGAACGCUGGCGGCGUGCUUAACACAUGCAAGUCGAACGGAAAGGCCCUUCGGGGUACUCGAGUGGCGAACGGGUGAGUAACACGUGGGUGAUCUGCCCUGCACUUUGGGAUAAGCCUGGGAAACUGGGUCUAAUACCGAAUAUGACCAUGCGCCUCCUGGUGUGUGGUGGAAAGCUUUUGCGGUGUGGGAUGGGCCCGCGGCCUAUCAGCUUGUUGGUGGGGUAAUGGCCUACCAAGGCGACGACGGGUAGCCGGCCUGAGAGGGUGACCGGCCACACUGGGACUGAGAUACGGCCCAGACUCCUACGGGAGGCAGCAGUGGGGAAUAUUGCACAAUGGGCGCAAGCCUGAUGCAGCGACGCCGCGUGAGGGAUGACGGCCUUCGGGUUGUAAACCUCUUUCAGCACAGACGAAGCGCAAGUGACGGUAUGUGCAGAAGAAGGACCGGCCAACUACGUGCCAGCAGCCGCGGUAAUACGUAGGGUCCGAGCGUUGUCCGGAAUUACUGGGCGUAAAGAGCUCGUAGGUGGUUUGUCGCGUUGUUCGUGAAAACUCACAGCUUAACUGUGGGCGUGCGGGCGAUACGGGCAGACUUGAGUACUGCAGGGGAGACUGGAAUUCCUGGU
Molecule: ribosomal RNA, 629 nt
Filed under: uncultured bacterium
Lineage: Bacteria
Description: bacterial SSU rRNA
Rfam family: Bacterial small subunit ribosomal RNA
Source: RNAcentral